AUUGAACGCUAGCGGGAUGCUUUACACAUGCAAGUCGAACGGCAGCGCGGACUUCGGUCUGGCGGCGAGUGGCGAACGGGUGAGUAAUGUAUCGGAACGUGCCCAGUAGCGGGGGAUAACUACGCGAAAGCGUAGCUAAUACCGCAUACGCCCUACGGGGGAAAGCAGGGGAUCGUAAGACCUUGCACUAUUGGAGCGGCCGAUAUCGGAUUAGCUAGUUGGUGAGGUAACGGCUCACCAAGGCGACGAUCCGUAGCUGGUUUGAGAGGACGACCAGCCACACUGGGACUGAGACACGGCCCAGACUCCUACGGGAGGCAGCAGUGGGGAAUUUUGGACAAUAGGGGCAACCCUGAUCCAGCCAUCCCGCGUGUGCGAUGAAGGCCUUCGGGUUGUAAAGCACUUUUGGCAGGAAAGAAACGUCGCGGGCUAAUACCCCGUGGAACUGACGGUACCUGCAGAAUAAGCACCGGCUAACUACGUG
This 484-nucleotide ribosomal RNA is filed under the name uncultured bacterium. RNAcentral describes it as "partial 16S ribosomal RNA". It matches the Rfam family "Bacterial small subunit ribosomal RNA", at positions 30 to 507 of the family's 1533-position model. The record is from RNAcentral.